UUUAGGGAAGGAAAGAAAUGCCGAUGUUGCAAUUCUUCCCAUCCCGAUAAAGUGAGUCACCCGUGAUUCGAUAGUUCCAUUUUCCGCUGAUGCAGGCCGAUUGGGAUCCCAGCAGUCAAACCACUGUGUUCGUUCCUCACCCUCCUUCCAAUCAAAUCUAUUCUAAGGUGUCCGGAGGCAGGGGAAAGAAAGGAGGGAUUGAUCGACCAACUUGAACAGAUCCAUAACCUGCUUCCAUCUGUCCUGAAUGAGGGAAUUAAGGCGGGUAUAGUCGAACUGAACUGCUUGAUUCUAAGGUGGGUGAUAAGCAGCUGUAUCCGUAUCAAGCCUACCUAAACCACUCUGUUCGUUCCACACCCUCCUUCCAAUCAAAUCUAUUCUAAGGUGUCCGGAAGCAGGGGAAAGAAAAGAGGGAUUGAUCGACCAACUUGAACAGAUCCAUAACCUGCUUCCAUCUGUCCUAAUGAGGGAAUUAAGGCGGGUAUAGUCGAACUGAACUGCUUGAUUCUAUGGUGGGUGAUAAGCAGCUGUAUCCGUAUCAAGCCUACCAUCUCUUCUCACGAAAGACUUUCCAUCCCGUCUCUGAAAGUUUUGCAAUAUAAGUGGCCCUGCUUCAAAGCCCCAGAAAACCCCCCUUACUCUCUCUCUAUAAAAAAAAGCCCUUUCCCCUUUCUUUAAUAAUAUAAGGUAAGCUUUGAAAAGUAACACGCUCCCGACAGGCAAUUAAUCCUCCCCAGAAAACCCCGCUUACUCUCUCUCUAUAAAAAAAGCCCUUUCCCCUUUCUUUAAUUAUAUAAGGUAAGCUUU
RNAcentral lists this long non-coding RNA (807 nucleotides) under Nicotiana benthamiana. RNAcentral describes it as "long non-coding RNA (NBEN_LNC004758)". The record is from RNAcentral. Lineage: Eukaryota; Viridiplantae; Streptophyta; Magnoliopsida; Solanales; Solanaceae.